Molecule: long non-coding RNA, 466 nt
Filed under: Marmota monax (woodchuck)
Lineage: Eukaryota; Metazoa; Chordata; Mammalia; Rodentia; Sciuridae
Source: RNAcentral
UGCUCACUUAGACUCUAGGACCUUGGAGAAGGCCUAUAGCCUACUUAUCUAAAAAGCUGGACCCAAUGGCUAAUGGAUGGCCCCAUUGCCUAAAAACUAUAACAGCGGCGGCCCUACUAAUCAAGGAUGCUGAUAAGUUAACGCUGGGGCAGAAGCUAACCGUUAUAGCCCCCCAUGCCCUAGAGAGCAUCAUCCGCCAGCCACCAGACAGAUGGCUAUCAAACUCUAGAAUAACACACUAUCAGAGCCUGUUGCUUGACAAGGACAGAAUAAUACUGGGACCCCCCCGCCCCGCUUAACCCGGCUACACUACUACCUGAACAAUCAUCAGAACCCGUCACUCAUGACUGUCAACAUAUACUGGCAGAAGAAACCAGUAUACGACGGGAUUUCAAAGAUCAGCCACUGCCCCACCCUAAGGUCAUAUGGAUCACUGAUGGCAGCAGCUUUCUCCAGGACGAUACAU